UACGAAGGGAGCUAGCGUUGUUCGGAAUCACUGGGCGUAAAGCGCACGUAGGCGGGGUUGUCAGUCAGGGGUGAAAUCCCGGAGCUCAACUCCGGAACUGCCCUUGAUACAGCAAGCCUUGAGUCCGGAAGAGGUAGGUGGAAUUCCUAGUGUAGAGGUGAAAUUCGUAGAUAUUAGGAAGAACACCAGUGGCGAAGGCGGCCUACUGGUCCGGCACUGACGCUGAGGUGCGAAAGCGUGGGGAGCAAACAGG
Molecule: ribosomal RNA, 253 nt
Filed under: uncultured bacterium
Lineage: Bacteria
Description: partial 16S ribosomal RNA
Rfam family: Bacterial small subunit ribosomal RNA
Source: RNAcentral